Planococcus citri (citrus mealybug) is the source of this 247-nucleotide long non-coding RNA. RefSeq lists it as uncharacterized. NCBI's taxonomy places the organism in Eukaryota, Metazoa, Arthropoda, Insecta, Hemiptera, Pseudococcidae. The transcript is spliced from 3 exons. The record is from RefSeq and is a predicted model, not a curated record.
AUUCCUACGUGCCAAGGCGACUCAACAUAGCGUUCCGUACUAGUUUCGUUGUCGAAUGGAGUGGCAUUGUAAAUUGCAUAUGGACGCCCACAUUCUGGAUUAACAAAGCUCGAGUGUCCUGAUGAAAUACUUGGCUCUCUGUGACAUUCAAAUAUACCUCCUUAUAGGUGAUGGAUUAGAAUAAAAAGCAGAAAAAGAAGAGAAAAAUUACCAUGCAUGGGAAACUCUUUCAAUAUGAUAUUAGAAA